Non-coding RNA from Glossina morsitans morsitans, 365 nucleotides. The record is from Rfam. NCBI's taxonomy places the organism in Eukaryota, Metazoa, Arthropoda, Insecta, Diptera, Glossinidae.
AAGUUCUUGUAAUCAAGUGGCCAUGAAAAUGUAUAUAACUGAUUAUAUAUAAAUGAGAGGCCUUAGGGUCGAAACGAUCUUAACCUAUUCUCAAACUUUAAAUCGGGAACAACCUCACCUUUCUUGGUAUGAAGGUUGUGGUUGUGAUAUAAUGUGCCCAGUGAGCCACUUAUGGUAAGCAGAACUGGCGCUGUGGGGUGAACCAAACGUAAUGUUACGGUGCCCAAAUUAACAACCGCUGCACCACAUACGUCUAAUGAUCACAUCAUAAGCGCGCUGCUAGCCUCCCCACCAUCAUCCACAUUGCCGCACCAAAGUGGACGACUUAUGUAUAUGAUCGCAACAGACAUAGGCAUUGGUAAGCA